GCCGGCGAGUGGCGAACGGGUGAGUAAUGCAUCGGAACGUGCCAUUGAGUGGGGGAUAACGUAGCGAAAGUUGCGCUAAUACCGCAUAUUCUGUGAGCAGGAAAGCAGGGGACCGCAAGGCCUUGCGCUCUUUGAGCGGCCGAUGUCAGAUUAGCUAGUUGGUGAGGUAAAGGCUUACCAAGGCGACGAUCUGUAGCGGGUCUGAGAGGAUGAUCCGCCACACUGGAACUGAGACACGGUCCAGACUCCUACGGGAGGCAGCAGUGGGGAAUUUUGGACAAUGGGGGCAACCCUGAUCCAGCCAUGCCGCGUGAGUGAAGAAGGCCUUCGGGUUGUAAAGCUCUUUCGGCCGGGAAGAAAUCGCAUGGGUGAAUACCCUGUGUGGAUGACGGUACCGGAACAAGAAGCACCGGCUAACUACGUGCCAGCAGCCGCGGUAAUACGUAGGGUGCGAGCGUUAAUCGGAAUUACUGGGCGUAAAGCGUGCGCAGGCGGUUUGGUAAGAUAGGCGUGAAAUCCCCCGGGCUUAACCUGGGAACUGCGCUUGUGACUGCCAGGCU
RNAcentral lists this ribosomal RNA (560 nucleotides) under uncultured bacterium. RNAcentral describes it as "bacterial SSU rRNA". It matches the Rfam family "Bacterial small subunit ribosomal RNA", at positions 87 to 642 of the family's 1533-position model. The record is from RNAcentral.